Long non-coding RNA from Octopus sinensis (East Asian common octopus), 153 nucleotides. RefSeq lists it as uncharacterized. Lineage: Eukaryota; Metazoa; Mollusca; Cephalopoda; Octopoda; Octopodidae. The transcript is spliced from 3 exons. The record is from RefSeq and is a predicted model, not a curated record.
CUCACGCCUGCCCUACAAUGUCAUUCUAAAAAGAAACAAUCACAUCAUUGAAAUCUCAAAGCUAUGAGAUAAUGAAUGAUUAAUUGAAAACAAGGUGGAUAAAUAUGGAUUACAUUGAACAGAGUAAUCUGAAUGUUAAAGGGUUGACAUUGG